RNAcentral lists this ribosomal RNA (374 nucleotides) under uncultured organism. Its description in RNAcentral is "partial 16S ribosomal RNA". It matches the Rfam family "Bacterial small subunit ribosomal RNA", at positions 527 to 897 of the family's 1533-position model. The record is from RNAcentral.
GGAGGGUGCAAGCGUUGUUCGGAAUUACUGGGCGUAAAGAGCGUGUAGGCGGUUUGGCAAGUCAGAUGUGAAAGCCCUGGGCUCAACCCAGGAAGUGCAUUUGAAACUGCCAUUCUAGAGUAUGGGGGAGGAGAGUGGAAUUCCCGGUGUAGAGGUGAAAUUCGUAGAUAUUGGGAGGAACACCCGUGGCGAAGGCGACUCUCUGGACCAAUACUGACGCUGAGACGCGAAAGCGUGGGGAGCAAACAGGGAUUAGAUACCCUGGUAGUCCACGCCGUAAACGAUGAGAACUAGGUGUAGCGGGUAUUGACCCCCCUGCUGUGCCGUAGCUAACGCAUUAAGUUCUCCGCCUGGGGAUACGGUCGCAAGGCUAA